AUUUGAUGAAGCAUCUGAAGAAGAAGAAGACGAUGAUGAAAUUCGGUAUCUUCAAAAGCUCAAAACUUCCCGAAUGUCAGCUUCUCAUAAUACAGAGCAUGGAGUCGAACCAAGGAGCCAGAAACUUAGGAGGAUUUCUGGGGUAAUGGAUAGAGACCUUGAUGGGUAUGAUGUAGGUGUUAGAGACUAUAAUAUUUCGAGUUCAGGCAAAGAGAGUAAGAAACCCAGACCAGAUAGAAUAUCCGAAGACACUGACUAUGCAGAAGAUGAAGAGUCGGUAUCUGAUGGUGAGCUAGAAACCAAGAAUAAGAAACAAUUAAAGGAGUCAUUUGAAGUCUCGGUAUCCUCUAAGGGGGAAAGGGCAAUAACUACACGCCGGCAGGCCCUUCAAAAGGGUAGAGACAUCUCCAUGAGUUCGGAUGCGAAUUUUAUUGAGUUUCCAAACGGGUUACCUCCCGCCCCUCCAAGAAGUGAGCAUUCCUUCCUGUUGAACUCAUUAAAUGACACUGGGUCCAUAGAUUUCUGAGUCCACUUCUUGCUUAUGAUAACGUGGUUGGUUUGGUCCACAGAGCAAAAGGAGAAACUUUCUGAAAUGGAACAUCAACUUAAAAGAGCUGAGGCUGCUCAAAGGCGUAGGAUUCAAAAUGAGAAGGCUGCUCGUGAGUCUGAGGUUUGUACUUUCCAUUUACUCCAUAUUCUCGUUUGUUUACUUUUAUAUGUAUUUUGUGACAAUUUUUACCUUAAAGAAUCUAUGUUUAAAUUUACUGAAGGAUGGAUUAUAUGAUGAUAUGAUUUACUGAUUAGCAUUCCUGGAAUUGACAGGCCGAAGCAAUUAGGAAAAUCCUGGGUCAAGAUUCCAGUAGAAAACGACGAGAAGAGAAAAUUAAGAAACGGAAAGAGCAGUUAGCACAGGUGACAAGAUGUACAUAGAUACCAUAUUUCAUAUGGCACAGUAGAUUUUCCUUUUGUUUACCCUAGUCAUGUAAAAUAAUGUAGGAGAGGGCUGCCAAUGCUACUGUUGCAUCAAAUGUUGUUAGAUGGGUCAUGGGUCCUUCAGGGACAACUGUGACAUUUCCCGACGAUAUUGGCCUCCCAAGUAUAUUUGAAUCCAAGCAUUCCAGGUAAUAGAGCAAUAUAGAGUGAAUGAUUCAUAUGUAUUAUACAGUGGCAUGAUCUGGCACACUAUUAUUAUCUAGAGCAUGUUUCACUCAGCUUAAAAUGUUCAUUUAUAAGUAAAUAAACUUUAGAAUAUGAUAUUUUUAUAACACGAAAUAAAAAAUAAGUUAAAUUGACAAGAAGGUAAAAAUUACUUAAAAAUAAGUAACUUUUUUUUUAUAGUGAGCUUGUUUGGCUAAGCUUAAAAGUUUACUUAUAAGUAAACAAGUAAUUUAAAAUACAUAAUUUGUUUUAUUGGCGAAAGUUAGAAACAAAAGUUACUUAUUUUAACACCGAGUAAAAUUUACUUUCAAAAAUGUAAUUUUUUUUCUUUAAUUGACGAGCAUGUUUUGGGACAAAAAGUUACUUGAAAGUAACUUUACUUUAAGUUUAGCCAAGCAUACUCUCUGUCAGUGAAACUAUCGUUAUCAUGUUCAAUGGCUCUUAAGCUUCUCGUUAUUAAAAAAGAAUACCAAUGCAGUUUCUAGCUCCGACCGGGUUUUUAUUCUUGCUACAUUCACUGAAUAUGUUCUCGAGACAAAUGAUGCUAUCUGAUUUGAUUGUUUUCGUUAGUUUUUUUAGUUAGAAUAUUUACCGCUGUGAGUACUUUUUAUUUUUUUAAUUUUUAAUUUAUUAUUAUUUUGUCUGUAAAACUGAAUUUUCUGCUCCACGUGGAUUUGGGAUACUGUACUGCAUUACAAUAUGAAGUUUCUAUCAUGGCUUCUUUUGGCAAUGCCCCUUGUAAUCAGAGCAACUUCCCUUCUAGGUGGUACAUUUAUGCCUAAAAAUGUUGGGUUUGUACUGAUCCUAGCUUUCUUCAUUUGUACAGGACAAUUUAUUAAAGGACGGCUCGCCUGUUAGAGAUGAGAAAGGUGGCUUGUUGGGGGUGCCAUGGAAAGAUUUCUCUAGAAGUGGUUUUAGUUUUGGGAGAGUGGGUACUUCCCAAGGAUCGAUCAUGGAAGCUGAUAAAUAUGGGCGAACUCGAGAAAACAAGUAUGUCUCUAGAAAAAGUUCAUUUGAUGAAGCAUCUGAAGAAGAAGAAGACGAUGAUGAAAUUCGGUAUCUUCAAAAGCUCAAAACUUCCCGAAUGUCAGCUUCUCAUAAUACAGAGCAUGGAGUCGAACCAAGGAGCCAGAAACUUAGGAGGAUUUCUGGGGUAAUGGAUAGAGACCUUGAUGGGUAUGAUGUAGGUGUUAGAGACUAUAAUAUUUCGAGUUCAGGCAAAGAGAGUAAGAAACCCAGACCAGAUAGAAUAUCCGAAGACACUGACUAUGCAGAAGAUGAAGAGUCGGUAUCUGAUGGUGAGCUAGAAACCAAGAAUAAGAAACAAUUAAAGGAGUCAUUUGAAGUCUCGGUAUCCUCUAAGGGGGAAAGGGCAAUAACUACACGCCGGCAGGCCCUUCAAAAGGGUAGAGACAUCUCCAUGAGUUCGGAUGCGAAUUUUAUUGAGUUUCCAAACGGGUUACCUCCCGCCCCUCCAAGAAGUGAGCAUUCCUUCCUGUUGAACUCAUUAAAUGACACUGGGUCCAUAGAUUUCUGAGUCCACUUCUUGCUUAUGAUAACGUGGUUGGUUUGGUCCACAGAGCAAAAGGAGAAACUUUCUGAAAUGGAACAUCAACUUAAAAGAGCUGAGGCUGCUCAAAGGCGUAGGAUUCAAAAUGAGAAGGCUGCUCGUGAGUCUGAGGUUUGUACUUUCCAUUUACUCCAUAUUCUCGUUUGUUUACUUUUAUAUGUAUUUUGUGACAAUUUUUACCUUAAAGAAUCUAUGUUUAAAUUUACUGAAGGAUGGAUUAUAUGAUGAUAUGAUUUACUGAUUAGCAUUCCUGGAAUUGACAGGCCGAAGCAAUUAGGAAAAUCCUGGGUCAAGAUUCCAGUAGAAAACGACGAGAAGAGAAAAUUAAGAAACGGAAAGAGCAGUUAGCACAGGUGACAAGAUGUACAUAGAUACCAUAUUUCAUAUGGCACAGUAGAUUUUCCUUUUGUUUACCCUAGUCAUGUAAAAUAAUGUAGGAGAGGGCUGCCAAUGCUACUGUUGCAUCAAAUGUUGUUAGAUGGGUCAUGGGUCCUUCAGGGACAACUGUGACAUUUCCCGACGAUAUUGGCCUCCCAAGUAUAUUUGAAUCCAAGCAUUCCAGGUAAUAGAGCAAUAUAGAGUGAAUGAUUCAUAUGUAUUAUACAGUGGCAUGAUCUGGCACACUAUUAUUAUCUAGAGCAUGUUUCACUCAGCUUAAAAUGUUCAUUUAUAAGUAAAUAAACUUUAGAAUAUGAUAUUUUUAUAAUAUGAAAUCAAAAAUAAGUUAAAUUGACAAGAAGGUAAAAAUUACUUAAAAAUAAGUAACUUUUUUUUUAUAGUGAGCUUGUUUGGCUAAGCUUAAAAGUUUACUUAUAAGUAAACAAGUAAUUUAAAAUACAUAAUUUGUUUUAUUGGCGAAAGUUAGAAACAAAAGUUACUUAUUUUAACACCGAGUAAAAUUUACUUUCAAAAAUGUAAUUUUUUUUCUUUAAUUGACGAGCAUGUUUUGGGACAAAAAGUUACUUGAAAGUAACUUUACUUUAAGUUUAGCCAAGCAUACUCUUAUGGCAGGAAAAAUAAAUAAAUAAACAAUUGAUCCAAAUGCAUUUGGAAAUAAAAAGUUACUUUCAAAGUGGACAAUACUGUUGUUUUCUAAAUCUUUUUGAUAUAUGCUCAAAUCUUAUUGGACACUAUUUAUUUCCACUUAAUUUGGUUUCAAUAGGAGGGAGGACUCUAAGACACAUGAUUACUAUUUAUUUUAAGAUAAAAGCGAGCAAUUUGUUUAUGUUAUGUUUGUUCCUGAAGUAGGAACUGGUCCAUUUGUUCCUCAGUAGCUCUUUUCACAAAGGCUUAGGCUUCCUCGGUAAAGUCUAAGUAGAAGACAUGAUUUCUUGGAACUGAUGUUUACUAGUUUUAAGUAUGUUGAGCAAGUCAUGUUCUCUUAUUUUCUAGCUUAACCAAACAGUGUUCCAUGAUGGAUUUAGUAGUGCAGCCUCUCUGUGCGAGAGGUGAAAUCCAAUCUUAUGUUUUGCUUGCUGAUUUGGUUUUUUGAUGUGGACUACCAGUUAUCCUCCCCCACGCGAGAAAUGUGCUGGUCCUUCGUGUACAAAUGCAUACAAGUAUCGAGAUUCUGAGUCGAACCUCCCUCUUUGCAGCCUUCAGUGCUACAAGGCAAUACACGAGAAGACACGACCUCUGUCUGCUUGUUGAUUUUCUCCUGAUUCUAAUACGAGCACCUGCAGCGAGUUCUUGUUUCUGGGGUAAUGGAUAGAGACCUUGAUGGGUAUGAUGUAGGUGUUAGAGACUAUAAUAUUUCGAGUUCAGGCAAAGAGAGUAAGAAACCCAGACCAGAUAGAAUAUCCGAAGACACUGACUAUGCAGAAGAUGAAGAGUCGGUAUCUGAUGGUGAGCUAGAAACCAAGA
This 4591-nucleotide long non-coding RNA is filed under the name Olea europaea (common olive). RNAcentral's name for it is "long non-coding RNA (OEUR_LNC001179)". Lineage: Eukaryota; Viridiplantae; Streptophyta; Magnoliopsida; Lamiales; Oleaceae. The record is from RNAcentral.